Molecule: ribosomal RNA, 842 nt
Filed under: uncultured bacterium
Lineage: Bacteria
Description: bacterial SSU rRNA
Rfam family: Bacterial small subunit ribosomal RNA
Source: RNAcentral
CNCGUUACGAUUGCCCUUGAGUUUGAUCAUGGCUCAGGACGAACGCUGGCGGCGUGCCUAACACAUGCAAGUCGAGCGAAGAGCUUGUAUCUUAAUCCUUCGGGAGAAAGAAGCAAGUAAUUAGCGGCGAACGGGUGAGUAACGCGUGAGGAACCUGCCUUUCACAAAGGGAUAGCCUCGGGAAACUGGGAUUAAUACCUUAUGAAACUGUAAAAUCGCCUGAUUUAACAGUCAAAGAUUUAUCGGUGAAAGAUGGUCUCGCGUCCCAUUAGCUAGUUGGUAAGAUAAAAGCUUACCAAGGCCACGAUGGGUAGCCGGCCUGAGAGGGUGAACGGCCACACUGGAACUGAGACACGGUCCAGACUCCUACGGGAGGCAGCAGUGGGGAAUCUUGCACAAUGGACGAAAGUCUGAUGCAGCGACGCCGCGUGAACGAUGAAGGCCUUCGGGUCGUAAAGUUCUGUCCUUGGAGAAGAUAAUGACGGUAACCAAGGAGGAAGCCCCGGCUAACUACGUGCCAGCAGCCGCGGUAAUACGUAGGGGGCAAGCGUUGUCCGGAAUUAUUGGGCGUAAAGGGUUCGCAGGCGGCUUUGUAAGUCAUAUGUGAAAGAACAAGGCUUAACCUUGUACAGCAUAUGAAACUAUGAAGCUUGAGUUAAGGAGAGGAAAGUGGAAUUCCUAGUGUAGCGGUGAAAUGCGUAGAUAUUAGGAGGAAUACCAGUGGCGAAGGCGACUUUCUGGACUUAAACUGACGCUGAGGAACGAAAGCGUGGGGAGCAAACAGGAUUAGAUACCCUGGUAGUCCACGCCGUAAACGAUGAGUGCUAGGUGUCGGGGGUCAA